GGAGUGGCCGAUGCCUGAUUAGCUAGUUGGUGGGGUAAUGGCCUACCAAGGCGACGAUCAGUAGUUGGUCUGAGAGGACGCCCAGCCACACUGGGACUGAGACACGGCCCAGACUCCUACGGGAGGCAGCAGUGGGGAAUUUUGGACAAUGGGCGAAAGCCUGAUCCAGCAAUGCCGCGUGAGUGAAGAAGGCCUUCGGGUUGUAAAGCUCUUUCAGUCGAGAAGAAAAGGUUGUGACUAAUAAUCACAACUCAUGACGGUAUCGACAGAAGAAGCACCGGCUAACUACGUGCCAGCAGCCGCGGUAAUACGUAGGGUGCGAGCGUUAAUCGGAAUUACUGGGCGUAAAGGGUGCGCAGGCGGCUUUGUAAGUCAGAUGGGAAUCCCCCGGG
This 392-nucleotide ribosomal RNA is filed under the name uncultured ammonia-oxidizing bacterium. RNAcentral describes it as "bacterial SSU rRNA". It matches the Rfam family "Bacterial small subunit ribosomal RNA", at positions 223 to 607 of the family's 1533-position model. The record is from RNAcentral.